AUGGCGGCAAAGAAACAUCUCUUUCGCUUUGGGUCUUUCGCGAUAAAGGAUGAGUCGGAGAUUCGUUUUUGGGAAGACAUCUGGCUAGGCAAUGUCAGUCUCCGAGAACAAUAUUCAGGCUUAUACAACAUUGUUCGCGAUAACAAUAAUACUAUUGCGCAAGUGCUCAGUUCAUUCCCGCCGAAUAUUUCGUUCAGGCGGGAUUUGAUUGACCCCCGACUUGUGUCAUGGCAUAAUCUUUUAUCUCGACUGGAUUCGAUUAACCUGACACAAGGCCGGGAUGUGUUUCGCUGGAACCUUACUACAUCAGGGUCUUUCACUGUAGACUCUAUGUAUCAUGCGCUCACACAUUCUGAGAUACCAGUGAGUAAUAACUAG
RNAcentral lists this ribosomal RNA (378 nucleotides) under Triticum aestivum (bread wheat). RNAcentral's name for it is "partial small subunit ribosomal RNA". The record is from RNAcentral. Lineage: Eukaryota; Viridiplantae; Streptophyta; Magnoliopsida; Poales; Poaceae.